Balaenoptera ricei (Rice's whale) is the source of this 1670-nucleotide RNA transcript. It is a transcript of the gene named transmembrane protein 219, with no coding region annotated. The transcript is spliced from 6 exons. The record is from RefSeq and is a predicted model, not a curated record. NCBI's taxonomy places the organism in Eukaryota, Metazoa, Chordata, Mammalia, Artiodactyla, Balaenopteridae.
CUGUUUUAUCUGCUCUAUUUAGUCCUCACUACUUGAUGUUCUUAGAACUCCCAUUUCACAGAUUCUUAAGCUUGCAGAGGUUCGCUCAUUUUUCUCACAUAGCCAGUGAGUGGCAGAGGAGGACUCAAAUUGAGUUUAACUCCAAAGUGGAGUUCUUUUUCAUCAGACGCUUCCCUUGUCUGGGCUAUCAGCUGGAACUGUUCCUCAGCCAAACCCUAGCCCCAGAACAGCUGCUUCCUGAAUUUCUCCCGUUGAGAAUUCUCCUUUUUGAGUUCCUUUUUCCAGUACAGCGUGCUCUGCUCUGCUUCCACCUUGAUUACUUCAGAAAUGAAAUGCAGCAAACAUUUAUUGAGUGGUGCACGGAGAUGAACACUUGGAGUCAAGAGCCUUGGGUUCUUGUCCUGGCUCUGCCACUAACUGGCUGUGUGGCCUUGGCCAAGUCCCUUGUCUUCUCGGUGCUUUCACUUCCUUUGAAUAAAAUGGGUAAGUGCCUUCUUACUGGCAGGCUCUUGUCCAGGUCUCCCUUCCUGUCCUCCAGCAGGCUCUCCCUGGAGGCCCAGACCCCUCUGCUCCCCAUGGGCAGCUGCCAGGCAGGGCACAACCUGCAUCUCUGCCUGGCCCACCACCCACCUCUGGUCUGUGCCACUUUGAUCUUGCUGCUUCUUGGCCUUUCUGGCCUGGGCCUUGGUGGCUUCCUCCUCACCCACAAGACUGGCCUACGCAGCCCUGACAUCCCUCAGGACUGGGUCUCCUUCUUGAGAUCUUUUGGCCAGCUGACCCUGUGCCCCGUGAAUGGGACAGUCAAAGGGAAGUGGCGUGGGUCUCACGUCGUGGGCUUACUGACCACCUUGAACUUCGGAGAUGAUCGAGACAGGAACAAGACCCAGACAUUCCAAACCCAGGUCCAGGGUAGUCGUAUGGGAUUGAAAGGAUCUUCUGCAGGAGAGCUGGUCCUCAUUACAGCCAGGGUGACCACGGAAAGGACCCCAGGAACCUGCCUGUAUUUUAGUGCUGCUCCAGGAAUCCUGCCCUCCAGCCAGCCACCCAUGUCCUGCUCGGAAGAGGGAGCAGGAAACGCCACCCUGAACCCUAGGAUGGCUGAGGAGUGUGUCAGUGUCUGGAGCCACGAAGGUCUUGUGCUCACCAAGUUGCUCACCUCCGAGGAGCUGGCUCUGUGUGGCUCUAGGCUGCUGGUUUUGGGCUCCUUCCUGCUUCUCUUCUGUGGCCUUCUCUGCUGUCUCACUGCUGUGUGCUUCCACCCACGCCGGGAGUCCCACUGGUCUAGAACCCGGUUCUGAGGGCACUGGCCUAGUUCCCGUCUCGUUCUCAGGUGUGAAUCAACUUCUUGGGCCUUGAUUCUGAGUUGGAAGAGAUAUUACAAAAGUGGAGAGCUGGAAUGUGGGGGAAAUAAAAGGUCAUGCUGCUGUGAAGGGCCUCAGUCUCCUGAAGGGAUAUGACAGAUCGAGUUUUCUCAGCAAAGAUUCCUCGAACUUGGGAGCCCACGACCAGGCUGGAUAGUUACUAACCAGGACAGUCCGUUUUCCCGCCUUUUCUGCGCCCAGCAGCAGUCUUCCCUUACCCCUCCCAACCUCUACCCUGCACGCAGGCGCAGAUCACGGCUUCUUCUUUCCUUCCACCCGCGCCCCCUCAAAGCUUCCCCUAGCAACAAG